RNAcentral lists this long non-coding RNA (1729 nucleotides) under Polistes fuscatus (common paper wasp). RNAcentral describes it as "uncharacterized LOC122520642". Lineage: Eukaryota; Metazoa; Arthropoda; Insecta; Hymenoptera; Vespidae. The record is from RNAcentral.
AAAUCGCAGGAAAAAUCUUAUGGCGCGAAAGAUGGCGCGAUUACGAACGCUCGAUUAGGGAAGGUAUACAUACCUGUUCGCUAAGAGAGAAAAAAAACAAUUUAUCGAUUAUUUCGAAAGUUAAUAUUAAUCAAUAAUCGCGUUAUCAUCGUUGAUGAUUUUUAAAUUGUCAACAAGUUAGAUUUUGUUAAUGAUAUAAGAUGAUGAGGAGAGAGAGAGAUAUAUAUAUAGAUAAGAAAAAAAAAUAAGAUUAAAAAGGUAAUCCGUUUCGAAGGGGGAUGUAUGUUUAUUUAAUAAGGAUAGUUCCGUCUGAAAAGUAAAUGGAAUUAGGAAGAAAAUCGUUGGAUAAAAUAUUAUUUUAGCGGGAAAGAAAAUGGUAAGUAGAUAAUGGAAAGGAGUAGGAAGAGGGUCAGACUUGGAAAGGGAUUGUCGUCGUGCAUGGAAAGACGCACGCACGAUAGCGUGCAACCGAGCGAGGCGAGGGACACGGCCAGCUGUUUGUUUUGUUUUCGGGCAUGAGAUUCACGUGACACCACCGGUGCUGGUGGCGGCUCGCGCGGUAGCGCCGUAUCAAAGAACGCGAUUGGGCGAGCCGUUGCAUUCGCGCACCAUUCGGCGAAUCGUAGGGGGCGUUAGAAGGGAGGCCUGCUGCUUCUGCGGUGCAGAAACGUUUGACAUCGAUAAAUGCGUGAGAGUGCUCGCGAAGUGCGGAGGUACCAGGCCGUAAUUCGUUCGUCGGCUCCUCGUCGUCGUCGUCGUCGUCGCCGUGGUUGUGGUCGUGGUCCUCGUUGUCCUCGUUAUCCUCGUCGUUGUAAUCGUCGAGGACUCGUACUGGCAGUAAAUGCGGUGACGAGGGUUCGUGAAAGCAGAAGAAGAAAAAGAAGAGGAGGAGGAGGAGGAGAAGGAAGAAGCGGUGGUGGUAGAGGAAGAAGUGGAGGAGAAGAAGAAGAAGCGGCACAACGGGAAUCGAGAAGAAGAAGAACCACUAUUACGAGGGUUAUAGGAGGAGAGAAAGAGACAGAGAAGGAGAGGACGGUGCAGAAGAGCCAUCAUCGGUGGUGUUGUGUAGUGGCGUGGGUAGUAACCGAAACGAAAGGGUGAAGGAGGAAGAGGAGGAGCAGGAGGAGAGGAGAGGUGUAGCAGCAGCAGCAGCAGCAGCAGGUACUCUGCUGGAGAAGAGUUUUAUAGCGCGCGCACGAAAGAGAACGUGACUUUUGGGAGAAAAGAGGGAAGAACAAGAAGAACAACAAAACGAAAGAGGGAGAGGAAAGAGAAGAGAUAGAAAGAGAGAAGAAGACAAAAGAGUCGUCGAAUCCUAGUCGCGUGGUGAAUUGUGUUGAAUUGUGUUGAACAACGACGUUCGAAAGAACCGCGAAAAUAGAAAGAGGAGGAGGAGGAGUAGGAGGAAGAAGGAAGAGGAGAAGAAGGAGAAGAAGAAGAAGAAGAAUAAUAAUAAGAAGAAACUCUGUAGAUAUAGGAUAAUAUAAGAGGAAAGAAAAGGAUUCGAUGCUCGUGGCGUGAUCGCGAGGAAACGCCAAAGGGGAAUAGAAACAGAUAGAAAGAAAGAGAGAGAAAGAUAGAGAGAGACAGAGACAGAGUGACGGAGAGAUAAAGAAAGAAAGACAGAAGAAGAAGAGAGAGAGAAAAAAAGAAAGAAAGAGAGAGACAGAGAGGGAAAAUAAAAGCGCGCGCUCGUUUGAAAUCGUGGUGGUGCAUUGUGGUUAAGCGA